RNAcentral lists this transfer RNA (86 nucleotides) under Candidatus Aenigmatarchaeota archaeon. RNAcentral's name for it is "tRNA-Leu". It matches the Rfam family "tRNA". From Rfam's summary of the family: Transfer RNA (tRNA) molecules are approximately 80 nucleotides in length. Their secondary structure includes four short double-helical elements and three loops (D, anti-codon, and T loops). Further hydrogen bonds mediate the characteristic L-shaped molecular structure. tRNAs have two regions of fundamental functional importance: the anti-codon, which is responsible for specific mRNA codon recognition, and the 3' end, to which the tRNAs corresponding amino acid is attached (by aminoacyl-tRNA synthetases). tRNAs cope with the degeneracy of the genetic code in two manners: having more than one tRNA (with a specific anti-codon) for a particular amino acid; and 'wobble' base-pairing, i.e. permitting non-standard base-pairing at the 3rd anti-codon position. The record is from RNAcentral. Lineage: Archaea; Nanobdellati; Candidatus Aenigmatarchaeota.
GCAGGGGUCGCCUAGUCUGGCCAAUGGCGGCAGGCUUAAGACCUGCUGGGUUAGUCCCUUCGAGAGUUCGAAUCUCUCCCCCUGCA